AUGUGAGAAAUCGCGACGGGGGGAUCCCAAGUGCCAUUCUUAACGGGAUGGCUUUUCAUUAGUGUAAAAAGCUUUUGGAAUAAGAGCUGGGCAAGACCGGUGCCAGCCGCCGCGGUAACACCGGCAGCUCUAGUGGUAGCAAUUUUUAUUGGGCCUAAAGCGUCCGUAGCCGGUUUAAUAAGUCUCUGGUGAAAUCCUGUAGCUUAACUGUGGGAAUUGCUGGAGAUACUAUUAGACUUGAGACCGGGAGAGGUUAGAGGUACUCCCAGGGUAGAGGUGAAAUUCUGUAAUCCUGGGAGGACCGCCUGUUGCGAAGGCGUCUAACUGGAACGGUUCUGACGGUGAGGGACGAAAGUUAGGGGCGCGAACCGGAUUAGAUACCCCUGUAGUCC
This 392-nucleotide ribosomal RNA is filed under the name uncultured archaeon. RNAcentral describes it as "bacterial SSU rRNA". It matches the Rfam family "Archaeal small subunit ribosomal RNA", at positions 355 to 747 of the family's 1478-position model. The record is from RNAcentral.